This 1462-nucleotide long non-coding RNA is filed under the name Panax ginseng (ginseng). RNAcentral's name for it is "long non-coding RNA (PGIN_LNC006357)". The record is from RNAcentral. Lineage: Eukaryota; Viridiplantae; Streptophyta; Magnoliopsida; Apiales; Araliaceae.
GUUCAGGCAUUCCAUUUAAUGCCAACUAUUAAGUUGGACAAUCCUGCUGCAGACUACUUCCAUCCUGGAUAGUGGGUAUGGUAUCUAUUUUAUGGUGAUUUCUUUAAGCAAUACCAUUUUGACCCUUUCUGAACAUAUUAACCUAAAUAAGUCCACAAUCCAAAUUUAUAUCAACUGAUCCCUAUUCAUUUUGUCAAAGUUUUCGCUGCCUUUGCUGCCUGAUUUCUGGACUAAUUAGCUGCAAUUUUGGCUUCCCUCCAUCAAUAGAUCAGGUGCAUAACUGCCCUACUGGAAUUCAGUACUUUUGUUUUUGCUAAAUUUAAAAUGCAUCGGAUGAAAAAUAAUUACAGGUGAAAAGGGGCAUAACCCCAGAAGCAUUAUAGCUAGAUCAUCAUGGAGGUAUACAAAUAUGAUUGUCAUGCUAUAUUACACAUAUCAACUGUAAAACAGAGACUGCUUACAUAAUCCAAGGGUUAAGAGGAGGAAAUUUAGCUAAAGAUUUCUGAAAGGUAGUUGAGGAAAACAACCUACAUUUGAUUUGUUGAAUGAUGUCAGGGAUUAAGAUGGUGCGAGGGAGGUUGCACCUAUCAUGAAUCCUAGCAUAUUUCUUUCUUGCCAUAACCUGUAGAUUAUAGUGUUGAGGCAAAGAGAGAAAAUAAGCCUUGAGCUUUGUUAUAAGGAUUGUUUUAUGUUUACGAGGGUGGUUAUGAAUCUGUUUCCAGGGGAUAUAUAUAUUUAAAAAUUAGAACUGUUUCUAAGGGAGGAUGACUAGACGAUACUUUAGAUUUGUCUUCUUUAAUCCAUUGAGUUUUACUAAUAACAUUACAUUUACUUUGAUAUUGUUCAUACCAAUCAUAAAAAGUAAUGUUAAUCUCUUCAUUUUUAAUAAAUCUUUUCCAUCUAUUUACUAUCUUAUCUCUUUCCUUUUCAAUUGGGUGAUUAGAUCUGAAUAGAUAUCUUUUUCCUUUAUUAGAUUUUGAAUUAAAAUCUUUAACUAAGUUAUCCCAAUCUAACACAAAAUCCUUUUUAAUGACUCUUAAUUGAUUGUAUGGGGAUGGUGACUCAUCUGAGAAGAUGAUCAACAGCACCUUCCGGCAUCCACAGGAGAUGGACCAGUCAACCAAGAAGACGCCAGAGGAGUCUUCAGUCACCGACAGGUGAUGGCCCACGCCAUCAUCUCUUUUACUUUAGUAAAUGUAAAAGCAAAAGUAAAAGAUGAGGUAGCUGGGGUUUGACUGACGAAGAUAUCAAAUGGUUUUGGUUGACUAGCAAGAACUGAAGAGUAGGGCUUGGGGACUGUACCAAGCACUUGGAAUUUAUUAUGUGUUUAUGUGACUGGGUGAGGAACAACAGUUCCUUUUGGUUGAUUAACUGGAUCGGCAGAGCGGCCAUGACCACGAGAAGAUGAACCUCCUCGUACACUCAUGUUGCUGUGAUUGUACCUGUGUUAAUAAAUUCACGA